Molecule: ribosomal RNA, 497 nt
Filed under: uncultured bacterium
Lineage: Bacteria
Description: partial 16S ribosomal RNA
Rfam family: Bacterial small subunit ribosomal RNA
Source: RNAcentral
GAUGAACGCUGGCGGCGUGCCUAAUACAUGCAAGUCGAGCGAACAGACGAGGAGCUUGCUCCUCUGACGUUAGCCGCGGACGGGUGAGUAACACGUGGAUAACCUACCUAUAAGACUGGGAUAACUUCGGGAAACCGGAGCUAAUACCGGAUAAUAUAUUGAACCGCAUGGUUCAAUAGUGAAAGACGGUUUUGCUGUCACUUAUAGAUGGAUCCGCGCCGCAUUAGCUAGUUGGUAAGGUAACGGCUUACCAAGGCAACGAUGCGUAGCCGACCUGAGAGUGUGAUCGGCCACACUGGAACUGAGACACGGUCCAGACUCCUACGGGAGGCAGCAGUAGGGACCCUUCCGCAAUGGGCGAAAGCUUGACGGAGCAACGCCGCGUGAGUGAUGAAGGUCUUCGGAUCGUAAAACUCUGUUAUUAGGGAAGAACAAAUGUGUAAGUAACUAUGCACGUCUUGACGGUACCUAAUCAGAAAGCCACGGCUAACUACGUG